AUUGAACGCUGGCGGCAUGCUUUACACAUGCAAGUCGAGCGGCAGCGCGGGGGCAACCCUGGCGGCGAGCGGCGAACGGGUGAGGAAACCAUCGGAACGUGCCCGAGAGUGGGGGAUAACGCCGCGAAAGCGGCGCUAAUACCGCAUAUUCUCUGAGGAGGAAAGUGGGGGACCGCAAGGCCUCACGCUCCCGGAGCGGCCGAUGUCGGAUUAGCUAGUUGGUGGGGUAAAGGCUUACCAAGGCGACGAUCCGUAGCUGGUCUGAGAGGAUGAUCAGCCACACUGGGACUGAGACACGGCCCAGACUCCUACGGGAGGCAGCAGUGGGGAAUUUUGGACAAUGGGGGCAACCCUGAUCCAGCCAUGCCGCGUGCGGGAAGAAGGCCUCGGUU
This 392-nucleotide ribosomal RNA is filed under the name uncultured bacterium. RNAcentral describes it as "bacterial SSU rRNA". It matches the Rfam family "Bacterial small subunit ribosomal RNA", at positions 28 to 424 of the family's 1533-position model. The record is from RNAcentral.